AGCAAAACGGGACGAGAAGAGACCACAGGCACAGUUAACAAGAUGCUUCUUCAAUGGUAAAUUCUGUUUUUCGAAUGUUCUACUUGCUUUGGUUUUCGGUCCAUUUGACACACUCAGAUCUACACGAGUCCAUAAGUCUGCGUCCACCAGAUCAAGGUGGGUUAGAAACCACUGAACCAUUCUGUCUCCUGGAGGGCAGAACAACCAAAGCUUAACCACCGCACCAAACCUCCAACGGACAAUCUCAGAAAGCCAAUGAUGCUGCCCGACCCCUGCACAGCCUGUUGCCGUGGUAACAGUGCGGCAAGUACCUCGGUGUCUGUUCACGGUUAUGGGUGUCUGUUGCCAUCCUUCGGUGAAGGGAUUAAUCAUUACUCUGAUGACCUAGUGUUGAAUCAGGUUGGCACUGCUGCGCAUCUGACCGACUACCUGUCCGUCUGCCGACAAAGCAUGUGACACCUGGCGGAUACACGCACACCCCUUCAUUCCUUCAUCUGCUCCAGCCACACGGAAAUGGGGCACAUGCACUCCCAGCUGGACAGUUCUCUUUGGCACUAACAUUGCUUCUUGUUUUUGACGAGAAUGUUAUUUUUCAGCCUCUAUGUUUAGAGCGAGCAAUGUUUUCGGCGAUUUUGGUAUUUCAAAACCUUCUUUGACUGUAGUGGGUUUAUCAAUUAAGAUCAUUUUCUGUGUUUUGUACCUUUAAGAUUAAGAUUGCUUAACCACACAGUUUGUCUGUGUUUUAUUAGUAUAGUUUUUGUUUAACUGUAAUUAUUUUCUUUCUUGUCUUUCUGUUUUGGUUUAGUUUUCUUUUAUUUUAAACCUGUUGCUCUCAUACCCCCCCCAUUCAGGUGGUGAGUCUGCGGUGGUGAAUUGGUGUGUAUAUAUAUAUGUAUAGUAUAUAGCACAGAGAAUCAUAUCUGGGUAGUAAGUAUCCUCGUUUAAUGAUGAUGUAAGGAAAAGCUCCCUUGCUGCUUAGCAGUGGUGUGCUGUCAUUCAUGGUAUUGGUUAGCACACCUUCUAGGUGUAAUAAAAGUGAUCUCAUCUGCCAAAAGAGCUUUUGAUACAGUUGGAGACUUCACCUUGACUCUGACAUGUGGCCUGAAUGUACUUUCCGAUAUGUUCUUGGUAUUCUUGGUUGGUAUUCUUUCUCAAGAAACGUUGACACAAAAAACUUUACUCUUAUCCCUGUUUGUCUUUGGUUCCACAUGUAGUACCACAAAGUUUAAAGGUUACGAUGUACACAAGCAAGUGUAGUAGUUGAAAUAUAUAUUUUGUAUUCCUUAAACUAUGAACCUUAUAUAUUAAAUUAUAUGAAAUAUUAAAAUGAAAAUUGAAUACUUUAAUAGAUGUUUUAUUUAACUUUGGCAUGCAAAUUGUGUCAAUAAAGUGUAAAGUGUUUUAACACAAA
Molecule: long non-coding RNA, 1411 nt
Organism: Gasterosteus aculeatus aculeatus (three-spined stickleback)
Lineage: Eukaryota; Metazoa; Chordata; Actinopteri; Perciformes; Gasterosteidae
Source: Ensembl